This 641-nucleotide ribosomal RNA is filed under the name uncultured bacterium. RNAcentral's name for it is "bacterial SSU rRNA". It matches the Rfam family "Bacterial small subunit ribosomal RNA", at positions 97 to 726 of the family's 1533-position model. The record is from RNAcentral.
GGCGAACGGGUGAGUAACACGUGGGUAAUCUGCCCUCGAUUCUGGGAUAGCCCGGGGAAACCCGGAUUAAUACCGGAUAGCCUCUCGAGCUUACGAGCUCAUGAGGAAAGGUAGCUUCGGCCUCCGAUCGAGGAUGAGCCCGCGGCGGAUUAGCUUGUUGGUGGGGUAAUGGCCUACCAAGGCGACGAUCCGUAGCUGGUCUGAGAGGACGAUCAGCCACACUGGGACUGAGACACGGCCCAGACUCCUACGGGAGGCAGCAGUGGGGAAUCUUGCGCAAUGGGCGAAAGCCUGACGCAGCGACGCCGGGUGGGGGAAGAAGGCCUUCGGGUUGUAAACCUCUUUCAGCAGGGACGAAGCCACUCGGGUGAAUAGCCCAGAGGGUGACGGUACCUGCAGAAGAAGCCCCGGCUAACUACGUGCCAGCAGCCGCGGUAAUACGUAGGGGGCAAGCGUUGUCCGGAUUUAUUGGGCGUAAAGAGCGUGUAGGCGGCCAGACAGGUCCGUUGUGAAAACUAGAGGCUUAACCUCUAGACGUCGAUGGAAACCGUCUGGCUAGAGUCCGGAAGAGGAGAAUGGAAUUCCUGGUGUAGCGGUGAAAUGCGCAGAUAUCAGGAAGAACACCCGUGGCUAAGGCGGUU